UUCAGGCUCUGCGCCAUGGCCGCGCCGCAACGCGAGCCCCAACGGGAAGGACACCGGAAACUGCCGCCGCCACCGCCGCCUUCCGCCGCGCUCCGGAACUGAUCCCGGGGGGAGGAGGAGGAAGAGGCAGGGCGCCAUCUUGGGUGGCUGCUCGCCAGCAUUGGCGGCGCUCGCGGUCACGCUGCGUCGCGAGGCUCAGACAAAAUGGCGGCGCCCAGGCGGCCGCGUGAAGAGAAGGAGCGGGAGGAGGAUGAUGAUGAUGCUCCGCUGGAAGCGAAACGUGUGCGGGGGCAGCGGCGGCUCCUGGUGGUGCUGGAAGGGGCGAGUCUGGAGACGGUGAAGGUGGGGAAGACGUUCGAGCUCCUCAAUUGCGACAAGCAUAAGGCGCUGCUGCUCAGGAGCGGACGGGACCCCGGGGAGGUGCGGCCCGACAUCACACACCAGAGUCUUCUCAUGCUCAUGGAUAGCCCUCUGAAUAGAGCUGGCCUUCUGCAAGUUUACAUCCAUACCCAGAAGAAUGUUUUAAUUGAAGUGAAUCCUCAGACCAGGAUCCCGAGAACUUUCGAUCGAUUCUGUGGCCUUAUGGUUCAGUUGCUGCAUAAGCUCAGUGUUCGAGCAGCUGAUGGUCCUCAGAAAUUGUUGAAGGUCAUUAAAAAUCCAGUCAGUGACCACCUACCUGUGGGCUGUAUGAAGAUCGGUACCUCUUUUGCUGCUCCAAAUGUGACAGAUCUGCGUGAACUGGUUCCUAAAGCAGAGCCCGUAACCAUUGUUGUGGGAGCUUUUGCCCACGGUUCAGUAAGUGCAUGUAGCCUUUUUACUUGGGAGCUGUAAAUAUCUUUAUGAACGUAGAUUUUAGUGCCCCUCUUGAGGUUGGUUUGUUUGUUUUUCUUUUAGACUAAUCUAUUCUUUGGGAACUUCCCCCCCAACCCCUUCUCUGUUAAGAAACUGCCCAGCCUUGUAAUAGUUGGGCCUGUCAUUGAAGAGAGGGCUAUCAAUUGCUCUGAAGAGAUUUAAAGUGGCAAUAUUAAGUCUCGAAUGAAACAUGGUCAUAUAGGAGCAAUGAUGUGCCUUUGAAACUGAUGGAAGUAGAUGGGAUUUGAAAUGAUAGUAU
This is a non-coding RNA of Coturnix japonica (Japanese quail), 1111 nucleotides long. The record is from RefSeq and is a predicted model, not a curated record. Lineage: Eukaryota; Metazoa; Chordata; Aves; Galliformes; Phasianidae.